Molecule: long non-coding RNA, 377 nt
Organism: Vigna angularis (adzuki bean)
Lineage: Eukaryota; Viridiplantae; Streptophyta; Magnoliopsida; Fabales; Fabaceae
Exons: 3
Source: RefSeq, a predicted model, not a curated record
CAUUCCUCUUCCUGCAAGCUCUCUCCUCCUCCUAUGUCUUCUCCCUUUCCAUUCUUCACACUGAACCAUUAAAUUCUCGAUUAGGUGCUGCCCCAACGAUCACAAAGUAGCGGGUAUUGCUCUUAGUCGAUCCAUUUUCUCUAAUCUGAACCGGUGAUUCUAACAUUUUGAAAGUGCAAGCAAGUGGUCUAGGGUUCCUACUUGAGCUGGGUUGUCUACACUAGAGUAGGUGAUGAUGUACCUUUGGAGCAAGCUUUGGAAGUUGAGGAAGACCCAGCACCUAGUGCUUAGGAUUUCUACUAGCUCUUAUGUUAAAUAGCUCUUCAUUUUUUAAAGACUUCUAGACUUCAUUUUAUCAUGAUCCGUCUUUUGGAAAA